RNAcentral lists this ribosomal RNA (1207 nucleotides) under metagenome. RNAcentral describes it as "bacterial LSU rRNA". It matches the Rfam family "Bacterial large subunit ribosomal RNA", at positions 1595 to 2813 of the family's 2925-position model. The record is from RNAcentral.
GUACGUCAGACUUCCAAGAAAAGCUCGCAAUGUCAUAAAUAAAAAUGCCUGUACCAUAACCGACACAGGUGGGUAGGUAGAGUAUACUAAGGGGCGCGAGAUAACUCUCUCUAAGGAACUCGGCAAAAUGACUCCGUAACUUCGGGAGAAGGAGUGCCUUAUUUAUAAGGUUGCAAUAACAAGAUCCAAGCAACUGUUUAUCAAAAACACAGGUCUCCGCUAAGUCGUAAGACGAUGUAUGGGGGCUGACGCCUGCCCAGUGCCAGAAGGUUAAAGAAGUUGGUUAGUGUAUGCGAAGCUGAUGACUGAAGCCCUGGUGAACGGCGGCCGUAACAAUAACGGUCCUAAGGUAGCGAAAUUCCUUGUCGGGUAAGUUCCGACCCGCACGAAAGGCGUAAUGAUUUGGAUACUGUCUCGGAGAGAGGCUCGGUGAAAUAGACUUGUCUGUGAAGAUGCGGACUACCUGCACCAGGACAGAAAGACCCUAUGAAGCUUUACUGUAACUUGAAAUUGGAAUUGGACUUUGCUUGCGCAGUAUAGGUGGGAAGCGUUGAAGGUAUUCUUGCGGGAGUAUUGGAGCUAUCAGUGAGAUACCACUCUUGUAAUGUUAGAUUUCUAACUUUGAACCAUAAUCUGGUCAAAGAACAGUUUCAGGUGGGCAGUUUGACUGGGGCGGUCGCCUCCCAAAUGGUAACGGAGGCGUACAAAGGUUUCCUCUGAACGGAUAGAAAUCGUAUCUAGAGUGUAAAGGCAUAAGGAAGCUUGACUGUGAGACCUACAAGUCGAGCAGGGACGAAAGUCGGUCUUAGUGAUCUGACGGUACUGAGUGGAAAGGCCGUCACUCAACGAAUAAAAGUUACUCUAGGAUAACAGGCUGAUCUCCCCCAAGAGUUCACAUCGACGGGGAGGUUUGGCACCUCGAUGUCGGCUCAUCGCAUCCUGGGGCGGUAGUACGUCCCAAGGGUUGGGCUGUUCGCCCAUGAAAGCGGUACGCGAGCUGGGUUCAGAACGUCGUGAGACAGUUCGGUCCAUAUCCGGUGUAGGCGUUAGAAUAUUGAGAGGAGCCUUCUUUAGUACGAGAGGACCGAGAAGGGCACACCGCUGGUGUACCAGUUAUCGUGCCAACGGUAAACGCUGGGUAGCUAUGUGUGGAGUGGAUAACCGCUGAAAGCAUCUAAGUGGGAAGCCCACCUCAAGAUGAGUAUUC